This is an RNA transcript of Diospyros lotus (date-plum), 3012 nucleotides long. RefSeq lists it as uncharacterized. The transcript is spliced from 3 exons. The record is from RefSeq and is a predicted model, not a curated record. NCBI's taxonomy places the organism in Eukaryota, Viridiplantae, Streptophyta, Magnoliopsida, Ericales, Ebenaceae.
UUACUGAAAAGAUAAUUAGAAAUUAAUGUUCAUGACUGGAAAUUGAUAUUUAAAUGAUCAACCUUCCCCUUCCAAAUAUUUAUUUCAUUUUUUGGGUUUUAUUGCUUUAAUAUUUGGAAGACGACUCCGCCGAGUCUCCGACACAACCACAGUAGAAAACUAAGGAAGAGCGAGAAAGAGGGCAAAACCUACUCGCUUACUUGCCUGCCUGCGUUUAUCGGGUGAAGGUGGAGAAAGUCAGGUACUUUGAUUUAAUUUUGAGUUGGCCUAAAUGGAUCCAGCGGCUGAAGAGCAAUUAGAUUUUGGAGAUGAAGAGUAUGGAGGGGCUCAAAAGAUCCAGUAUCAGGGAAGUGGAGCAAUUUCUGCUCUUGCGGACGAUGAGAUGAUAGGUGAAGACGAUGAAUAUGAUGAUCUCUAUAAUGAUGUUAAUGUUGGAGAAGGCUUCUUGCAGCUGCAGCGUUCAGAAGCACCAGGGCCAACACCGGGUGUGGGUAAUGGGGGAUUCCAGACACAGAACACUAGUCUUUCCGAAACUAGAGCUGAAGUUGCAGGAACUCAGCAGCCAAGUGUUCAUGGGGUUGCAACUGAAGGGAAGCAUUCAAAUCCUGGGAUCCUUUCUCCUGAGUCAAAAGGGGGGCUGACAGCUGAUAGGGGACAAGUGGGAACUACUGAUAUUGCUCAAGCUAGAAUGGUUCAGGGGAUAGCUGAUGGUGCUCAAGUAGGACAUAUGGCAUUUCGGGGGCCAACACCUAUCCCCAACAAAUUGGGGAUUGAUUCUACUAAAAUGUCAGGAAAAAUGGUCCCCGAGUCUGCUCCAUUGCCAAACCCUAGCACGGUUGGUCCUAGAAGUGUUCCACAGAUACCACCUAAUCAGGUGGGCAUGAAUCCUAAUGCCAAUGUGAACCGUCCAGUGGUUAAUGAAAAUCCUAGCCGACCGGCUUUGGAGAAUGGAGGAACCAUGCUCUUUGUGGGAGAACUACAUUGGUGGACUACUGAUGCAGAGCUCGAGAGUGUGCUAUCACAAUAUGGAAGGGUAAAAGAGAUUAAGUUCUUUGAUGAGAGAGCUAGUGGCAAAUCAAAAGGCUAUUGCCAAGUUGAAUUUUAUGACCCAUCUGCAGCAGCUACAUGCAAAGAAGGAAUGAAUGGUCAUGUUUUUAAUGGGAGAGCUUGUGUAGUGGCCUUUGCUUCUCCACAAACCAUAAAACAGAUGGCUGCUUCUUAUAUGAACAAAAACCAAGUCCAGCCUCAGUCUCAGUCACAGGGAAGGAGGCCCGUGAAUGAUGGGGUGGGGAGAGGUAGUGGAAUGAAUCAACCUGGUGGAGAUGCAGGGAGGAAUUACGGGAGAGGGGGGUGGGGACGAGGAGGUCCUGGGGGUGGACCCAUGAGGGGAAGAGGUGGGCCUAUGGGAGCGAAGAACAUGGUUGGAAACACUUCUAUUCUUGGAAGUGGUGCUAGUGGAGGAGCAUAUGGGCAAGGCCUUGCAGGUCCCCCUUUUGGCGGCCCUCCUGCCGGUUUGAUGCCUCCUCAGGGUAUGAUGGGUGCUGGUUUUGAUCCGACAUAUAUGGGUAGAGGAGCAGGGUACGGGGGCUUAGGGCCUCCAUUUCCUGGGAUGCUUCCUUCAUUUCCAGCUGUUAAUGCAAUGGGACUUGCUGGGGUGGCUCCUCAUCUCAAUCCUGCCUUCUUUGGCAGAGGAGUGGUUGGUAAUGGAAUGGGGACAAUGGGGCCCACUGGAAUGGAUGGGCAUCAUGCUGGAAUGUGGACUGACACAAGCAUGGGCGGGUGGGGAGGAGAAGAAUAUGGGCAUAGGACUAGAGAGUCAAGUUAUGGUGGCGAAGAUGGUGCUUCUGAAUAUGGACAUGGAGAGGGUAGCCAUGAAAAGGAAGUAAGGUCAAAUGUGGCUUCCAGGGAGAAGGAACGUGGUUCUGAACGUGAAUGGUCAGGAAAUCCUGAGAAAAGGCAUCGGGAUGAGAGGGAGAUGGAAAGGGACCGGUAUGAGCGAGAUCACAGGUACAGGGAGGAGAAGGAUAGUUACAGGGAGGUCCGGGACCAGCGGCAAAGAGAUCGUGACAUGGGCUACGAGGAUGACCGUGACAGGGGACAAUCUUCGUCAAGAUCUCGAAGUAGGUCUAAAGCUAUGCCAGAAGAUGAUCGCAGACGAUCAAGGGAUGCAGAUUAUGGGAAGCGGAGACGCCUUCCAUCAGAGUGACAGAAUCAAGUAUUUGAUUCUUCUUAGAGAGGUCCUUCUUGAUCUGGCCUCUAGUAUUCUCGCUACUCCAUGUCUCUUCAUCUGGUUGCUAGAAUGCAUCUACCAUCACUAUUUCUGGUUUGAUUGGCCCCACAUGCAGAGCAUAGCUUCUGGACUGAAAACGGAGUGAAUUGGCAGCUUUAUAUUUUUUGUGAUUGAAUCAGCCUAAGUUGAUUAUCUCAAGGAGGAUGGGCUAUGUGAGCUGCUUUCCCUGGAUUUCUCUGAAAAUCUGUUGGUCUGCUAUUUUGCUAAAGAAGGCUUAAACAUAUUACCUCUCAUUUCUUUUCCUCAAAGCACUUUUUUUGCUCCUGGAAGAAAAUGUUAAAAGUAUCCAAUUAUUUUACUUUUGAAUAAGUGAAGGAUAAAGGAGUUAAGUGCUUGGAUGCAACCACAAUCCCUGCCAGUGUUCGUGCAGAUCACUUUUUUCUUCUUGUGAACUGGUUUUGUUGUAUUAAAUUCGCUACUGAUGAUGACCUGUGUCUCAUCAGUGUUCUGUACAAUUUGUGUAAAAAUUAUGAGGUCCUUGCUUGUAAAUGUUUGAUCUCUUGUAUCAAAAUAUGUUUGUUCUUUCUGUUGGGAGUCUUGUUAGUUAUCAGUACUGUGUAACUUGGAUUCACCAUUUCAAUUGUAAGUGGUCAUUGCUGAACUCGAGAAGUUUUUGUUUCUCGAUGGUUCUUCCUUCAAAUGUAUUACAUCUGGAUCAUGUAAAGCGCAAGAUGCAGUUUUGAUUGGGGACAAUUUUGCUGUAUGCAUUCCAUGAUUCCUAU